UACAGAGGUCCCAAGCGUUGUUCGGAUUUACUGGGCGUAAAGGAUGCGUAGGCGGUCUGCCAAGUCCGAUGUGAAAGCCCGGGGCUCAACCCCGGAACGGCAUUGGAUACUGGCAGGCUGGAGGCUGGAAGAGGUUACUGGAAUUCCCGGUGUAGCGGUGAAAUGCGUAGAGAUCGGGAGGAACACCAAUGGCGAAAGCAAGUAACUGGGACAGACCUGACGCUGAGGCAUGAAAGCCAGGGGAGCAAACGGG
RNAcentral lists this ribosomal RNA (253 nucleotides) under uncultured bacterium. RNAcentral describes it as "partial 16S ribosomal RNA". It matches the Rfam family "Bacterial small subunit ribosomal RNA", at positions 524 to 776 of the family's 1533-position model. The record is from RNAcentral.